CAUGGAGGAUAGGGUCCUCUCAGCUGGAGACCUCAGCAGUACUUCUGACACUGGAAUAAUGGAGAAGGGAAGUAAGGGGAAGGAUAUGCCUCAUUUCAUACUUAGACCUCCAAUUCAACAUGAAGUAGUGGACAAGUGUUAUUGCACAGAUUUCUGGCCAAAAAGCAGGAUGGGCAGGGCUCUGCCAGAGCAUCUGAAGCCCCACUUCACUCCAGCAUUUCUCACUGUAGUGCUUGGGAAAUGAGGAUCCAAAGCAGAGCUUGGCCACCAGAGGCAGAGAGACAAAGCACAGCCAGGUGUUAAAAGCAGCACUGGUCUGCUCCUGCACCCACAGAGAGAUGGAGAGACAGAAGCACACCAAUUUACACAGAAGCUAUUUUGAGUCAGGUACUAUUGUGGGUGCCACUAAUGGCAUAAUUUCUGCUUCUCAUAUUGGACUGGCACAUGUCCCACUCUA
Molecule: long non-coding RNA, 457 nt
Organism: Vidua macroura (Pin-tailed whydah)
Lineage: Eukaryota; Metazoa; Chordata; Aves; Passeriformes; Viduidae
Exons: 3
Source: RefSeq, a predicted model, not a curated record